This 774-nucleotide ribosomal RNA is filed under the name uncultured Neocallimastigales. RNAcentral describes it as "partial large subunit ribosomal RNA". It matches the Rfam family "Eukaryotic large subunit ribosomal RNA", at positions 26 to 644 of the family's 3401-position model. Lineage: Eukaryota; Fungi; Neocallimastigomycota; Neocallimastigomycetes; Neocallimastigales. The record is from RNAcentral.
CGCAUCUGUGCAUGCAGCAUAUCAAUAAGCGGAGGAAAAGAAACUAACAAGGAUUCCCCUAGUAACGGCGAGUGAAGCGGGAAGAGCUCAAAUUUGAAAUCUUAAAGGGUUUCCCUUUACGAAUUGUAGUUUAAAGAAGUGUUUUCUGUUGAGGUUUUGGUAACAGUUCUUUGGAAUAGGACAUCAUAGAGGGUGAGAAUCCCGUAUUUGACCUUUACUUCAACUUUGUGAUACACUUUCAAAGAGUCGGAUUGUUUGGGAAUGCAGUCCAAAAUGGGUGGUAAAUUUCAUCCUAAAGCUAAAUAUUGGCGAGAGACCGAUAGCGAACAAGUACCGUGAGGGAAAGAUGAAAAGAACUUUGAAAAGAGAGUUAAACAGUACGUGAAAUUGUCAAAAGGGAAGCGUUUGACACCAGUGUUGUUUUUCUGAAAAUCAAUUAAAGAACUGUUUAUGCUAAGUUGUUUAGACUUUAUCAGCUAUCUGUUUAGUUUUGAGCUCUUCUUUAAUGCACUUUUCAGUUAACAAGUCAACAUCAAUUUCUUUUGCUGUAAAAAAGCUUGAGGAAGGUGGCUUGAGAUUCGUCUUAAGUGUUUAUAGCCUCUUGCCUAUGCAGUCGGAGAGAUUGAGGUCUGCAGCGUAGAUCCUUCGGGGCUAAAUGCAUUUGUGCUAAGUUAUAGCAUUUUAUAGACAACUUGUUGACUAUGAUUUGUCUUGUAGCUUACUCGCUUAUGUUAUUUUACCUACGCUUAGGAUGUUGACUGAUAUGUAGUCGUA